Molecule: long non-coding RNA, 1838 nt
Organism: Hypanus sabinus (Atlantic stingray)
Lineage: Eukaryota; Metazoa; Chordata; Chondrichthyes; Myliobatiformes; Dasyatidae
Exons: 3
Source: RefSeq, a predicted model, not a curated record
UCGAUCAGAUAAAUGCCCGAGGGCCUGCUGCUUUGCUCGUGUUCAAAGUAGAAGAGCACAUUCUGGUAGAGGGCGAACCACUUAUCAUGCCACUUGUUGUUCUCGGACGUCCGCUUGCUCAGGGCUUCCCAACCUAGGGUCCACAGAACCCCUCAGGAUAAUGCCAUGACACAGUGUUGCACCUGGAUGACAGACUUGAGUGGAACACCAACAGAGGCUGUGUACAAGAACAUCCAGAGUCGCCGCUACUUCCUGAGGAGACUGAGGCCCUUUGGAGUAUGUAGGCCUCUCCUUCACAUGUUCUACCAGUCUGUUGUCGCCAGUACAAUCUUCUAUGUGGUGAUGUGCUGGGGCAAUGGCAUCAACAUGGGUGAUGCCAACAGGCUCAAUAAACUGAUUAGAAAGGCUGGCUCUGUUAUAGGAGUCAAACUGGACACACUGGAGCCUGUGGUGGAACAAAGGACCCUAUGGAAAAUCCUGGCAAUCCUGGACAAUGUUUCUCACCCUCUGCAUGACACCUUGGCUGAACAGAGGAGUAGUUUCGUAAUAGACUAAGACAACUGCGCUGCCCCAAAGAAUGCUAUAUGAGGUCAUUCAUACCCUCGGCCAUUAGGCUCUAUAAUGAGUCAACCUAUAGCCGGGGGAGUGAUGACCACUCCCUCCUAUUACCUUUGAGGUGACUUAUUUUUUAUUCUUUCUUACUUCUAAUAUUUGUAUAUCUGUGCACUUGUAACGCUACUGUGACACUGUCGUUUCCUUUGAGAUCAAUAAAGUAUCUAUCUCUGUCCACGUUAUACCUGCCAAUCUCCAACUGCACUACAAAAUCAUCUACCAUAUUCCAAUACUGUGUGUAUUUAAAUAUAACACCUUCAGUCCUGUAUUCAUCAUCCUUCUUAAUUUUGCCCAUUUGUUAUGCUUCAUCUGCCUGUCCCUGCUCAGUAAUGCCACACACUGUAUCUGCUUGUAUACCAACUGCUCCAUCCUCAGCCCUAUCACUCUGGUUCCCAUCCCAUAUUUAUACCCUUCCCAACAACUCUGGCAAACCUACCCACAAGGGUAUUGGUCCCCCCCCCCCCAGGUUCAAGUGUAACCUGUCCUUUUUGAAGAUGUCACACCUUCCCCAGGAGAGACCCCAAUGAUUCAGAAAUCCUGCCCCUUGUAAUCAUUAUUAGUAAAUUUCCCAGUGCUGGAUUGCAUACCUUGAGGGUUAUAUGGGGGUAGAAGAUUGGCAUCUAUUUCAAAAGGUACAUCAAAAAUAGGCACUAUUACUAUUGAAUAAAACAAGAUUUUGUAUCUGUAACUUUAGUAUGUGUAUUUUAUGAUAACAUUUUAAAGAUCCAGUUCAGAAAGUGAAUUAAUCAACAGCCUUUGAUGCAGUGGUCUCGGUGCACUAUUUAUUAAAUUUAGUUACUGUGUAUGUUGGGUGGCAGAGUGGAGAUAUGUCUCUACCAAGGGAGGUGUAAGGUGCUCCUUCCCUCUGCUCCUGAUGCACCUACCAAAUGUAUUCACAAUGUAUUUGAUUGUGAGCCUGGUCACCGUAUGUUGUCAGGGGAAACUGGAAGCACAGCACCAGUCUCACUCACAACUUCACUCCACAGCCCCCUGAACAGAGGGUUCAGCUAUCACACCAUUCGUCAAUUACAUUUGAUGUCUCCACACUUCUUUUCAUCUAUUUUUACUUUUACCCCACAUAAUCUUUGAAAUUAAGCUCAACACUUUUUCAUUUUUUAACCUCAUUUGCGGUUUCUAAAUGACAAUAAGCUGAAUCUGAAAUACUGAAACACUUUGUUCCCCUCUUGCAAGUAGUUUGUAAGUAGUCAGUCCAUUGACUUUUUUGG